CUCUCUCUCUCUCUUUGUGUUGUAUAUUUUAUAUGAGUAGAAGUCUGUCAAGAACAAGCACGGUCGUGCAUAUGUUGGCAUCUUGUUGUGGCAAUUUACAGAAAAUAAAACAGCUAGGCUGGCAGAGAGCUUCUUGUGUUCGUGAUAUCUGUAACGAGGCUGAUCGUGCAUCUCUCUAAUUGGGAGAAACCUUCGUGUUGAUGAGAAUGUAUGUAACUUAGAACAAAGUCUCUCUGUGUUUUUCCAUAUAUAACUUUUUUGCCUUGGAAAUUAGAAUGCGUGGGAUUCAAAUUUGUGUUUGAGAUUACAUGUCUCUCUGGAGGUAGGGUUAAGCCUCUACCCAUCAAUUUUUCUUGCUUUUUAUUUUUUAUUUUUUUAGAUAUAAGAUGUAUAUCACAUCAUGAAAACUGAAUAUAUAUUACAAUGAAUUGAUGAAGCUAUGCACAAUUCAAUAACCAAGUUGGUAUAAAUUAGAUUAAAUAACUAAACAAAUAAAAUACAACCAACAUAAAUGAUAUUUGAAUUAGAGAUAACAAUCGGGUACGACGGAUACGGAUAGUGGCUAUCCAUAUUUAUACCCGCGAGUUAAAUGGAUAGUGAAUUUUAACCACGAAGCUAUUCGUAGAUAUUAAAUGCCACCNAACGAGGCUGAUUGAGUCGUGCAUCUCUCUAAUUGGGAGAAACCUUCGUGUUGAUGAGAAUGUAUGUAACUUAGAACAAAGUCUCUCUGUGUUUUUCCAUUUAUAACUUUUUUGUCUUGGAAAUUAGAAUGCGUGGGAUUCAAAUUUGUGUUUGAGAUUAUAUGUCUCUCUCGAG
This 816-nucleotide long non-coding RNA is filed under the name Salvia miltiorrhiza (redroot sage). RNAcentral's name for it is "long non-coding RNA (SMIL_LNC009316)". Lineage: Eukaryota; Viridiplantae; Streptophyta; Magnoliopsida; Lamiales; Lamiaceae. The record is from RNAcentral.